Molecule: microRNA precursor, 110 nt
Filed under: Ovis aries (sheep)
Lineage: Eukaryota; Metazoa; Chordata; Mammalia; Artiodactyla; Bovidae
Description: miRNA (ENSOARG00000023379.1)
Source: RNAcentral
AUUUUAUGACUGAAUAAUAGCUUAUUGUGUAUAUAUAUAUGUGUGUGUGUGUGUAUGUGUGUGUGUAUAUAUACAUAUACAUAUACAUAUACAUAUACAUAUACAUAUAU